Molecule: long non-coding RNA, 231 nt
Filed under: Phoenix dactylifera (date palm)
Lineage: Eukaryota; Viridiplantae; Streptophyta; Magnoliopsida; Arecales; Arecaceae
Description: long non-coding RNA (PDAC_LNC015604)
Source: RNAcentral
UCAAUAUUUUUGACCAAUUUAAAUUGAUUCGAUCCACUAUACUUUUGCUACACAACUCUGAUCAAUAUCCUCCGAAUUUAUUAAUUGACUUUCUGUCAAAAUGUAAAUCUUGAUUGUAAAUUGAAUGAUAUAAAAUUUUGUCUCAAGUAGAGCCAAAAAAAACUCUUAAGUCUCAUCCCCAAAUAUAUUUUACAGAAUUGUAUAUGACUCAUAAAAUAACAUAUAGAAAAA